This 420-nucleotide ribosomal RNA is filed under the name Fusobacteriota bacterium. RNAcentral's name for it is "Fusobacteria bacterium partial 16S ribosomal RNA". It matches the Rfam family "Bacterial small subunit ribosomal RNA", at positions 355 to 776 of the family's 1533-position model. Lineage: Bacteria; Fusobacteriati; Fusobacteriota. The record is from RNAcentral.
UGGGGGAUAUUGCACAAUGGGCGAAAGCCUGAUGCAGCGACGCCGCGUGGGGGAUGAAGGCCUUCGGGUUGUAAACUUCUUUUGCUCUGAACAAGGCAUGCUUUUGGGGUGUGUUGAGUGUAGGUGUUGAUUAGCGCCGGCUAACUACGUGCCAGCAGCCGCGGUAAUACGUAGGGCGCGAGCGUUGUCCGGAAUUAUUGGGCGUAAAGGGCUUGUAGGUGGCUGGUUGCGUCUGUCGUGAAAGCUCAUGGCUUAACUGUGGGUUUGCGGUGGGUACGCACUGGCUUGAGUGCAGUAGGGGAGGCUGGAAUUCCUGGUGUAGCGGUGGAAUGCGCAGAUAUCAGGCGGAAUACCGGUGGCGAAGGCGGGUCUCUGGGCUGUUACUGACGCUGAGGAGCGAAAGCGUGGGGCGCGAACAGG